GGUUGGACAAGAAAUAAUCUGUCUUAAAUUAAUAUAUUGAAUUUAACUUUUAAGUGAAAAGGCUUAAAUAAUCUGAAGGGACGAUAAGACCCUAUAAAACUUUAUAUUUAUAGAUUAGUAGUUAGUUUUAUUUAAAAAUACUAUUUUAGAAUAUUUGGUUGGGGUGGCAAGGAUAAAAUAUAAAAUAACUGUCUUUUUUUUUUUUACAAUAAUAUUUGGUUUAAUGAUCCUUAAAAGGAUUAAAGAUUAAGUUACUUUAGGGAUAACAGCGUAAUUUUCUUUAAGAGUUCAUAUCGACAAGAAAGUUUGCGACCUCGAUGUUGAAUUAAAAGUUCUUUAUAGAGUAGAGACUAUAAAAGAAGGUCUGUUCGACCUUUAAA
This 380-nucleotide ribosomal RNA is filed under the name Procambarus vioscai paynei. RNAcentral describes it as "partial large subunit ribosomal RNA". The stretch from base 262 to 380 matches the Rfam family "Bacterial large subunit ribosomal RNA", at positions 2473 to 2592 of the family's 2925-position model. The record is from RNAcentral. Lineage: Eukaryota; Metazoa; Arthropoda; Malacostraca; Decapoda; Cambaridae.